UGCCAUGUCCCUGAUUGUUUCUUCCUCUGUCUAAUCACCUGCACCAGCCCUGUGUAUUUAAACCCUGUUUGUGUAUUUCCCCUUUGUCAGUUUGUCUUGUUUGAUCAUUGUAGAUCACGGGUGUGAGUCGGUCGCUUGUAUUUUUCCUGCGUGGAAUAUUUUGUCUCGUGAGCAAUAAAGUUGCCUUUUUCCCCAAGUUGUCGGUGUUUUGGUCCUGUUCUUGCGGCUACUUCAGUGACAUACAGAAUUAAAAUCAUCGACUUCGGCCUGGCCCAUGAGGUGUCCUCUGCAACCCGGGGCGCCUACAUUCAGACCCGUCCGUACAGGUCUCCAGAGAUUAUUUUGGUCUGUGGGCUACUGCUUACCUCUACCUCGGAUUCUUCCUCUACCCCGGCACGAGUGAAUAUGACAUGAUGAGGUACAUAGUGCAGACUCAGGGUCAGCCACCAGACACCCUGCUCACACUCUGACACAAAACUGGCUUUUUUUCCCAACAAGACGGCAACUCCACAAACAGUUCCUGGGAACCCAAGACACCAGAACAGUUCUAUCUCGAGACUAGGAAUCAGUCGAUGGAGACCAGGUGUGGGGAAUUCAGCUCGCUGUAUGAUCUCUUGCAUAUCCAGCUCAUAAGGAGAAAAAAGACUGCUGAUAAAGUUUCAGAAUCGAAUGACAGGCUUCUCUUUGGGGACAUCCUCAGAGGGAUGCUUGAGCUCGAUGCUGCAAAGAGACUCACACCCCGUCAGGUGCUCCAGCAUCAAUUCACCACAUGGUCAGCAGAUACCAUCUCAG
Long non-coding RNA from Cyclopterus lumpus (lumpfish), 792 nucleotides. RefSeq lists it as uncharacterized. The transcript is spliced from 5 exons. The record is from RefSeq and is a predicted model, not a curated record. Lineage: Eukaryota; Metazoa; Chordata; Actinopteri; Perciformes; Cyclopteridae.